This 83-nucleotide transfer RNA is filed under the name Canis lupus familiaris (dog). It matches the Rfam family "tRNA". From Rfam's summary of the family: Transfer RNA (tRNA) molecules are approximately 80 nucleotides in length. Their secondary structure includes four short double-helical elements and three loops (D, anti-codon, and T loops). RNAcentral also lists the same sequence under 1 other name. The record is from Rfam by way of RNAcentral. Lineage: Eukaryota; Metazoa; Chordata; Mammalia; Carnivora; Canidae.
GCCUGGGUGGCUCAGUGGUUGAGCAUCUGCCUUUGGCCCAGGGCGUGAUCCCAGGGUCCUGGGAUCGAGUCCCACACCAGGCU